AAUUGCGUAGUUCCGGUUCCAUUGAAUAUCUGGCUGAUCUGAGGAUCGAAAAGUGUGGUCGCCCAUUCCGACUUUGUCAGUGGAAGAAGGCAGAAGCGGUCAGUAAUUGUGUACCGCGUAGUAAAAGAUUGAAGUGUGAUUAGAUUAGCGUGAUUAGCAUAAGUGUAUCAGUGUAUCAUUGUUACGCUGAAAGGGAUAGAUACUCUCCAGUGCACCAGCAAAUUAAAUUGGAGGGAGUACCGCUACUGACCCCACGUACGAGGUCCGGAAUUUUGCCGCCACACUCGUCAAUUCUGGUGGCCGCGCGGAGCGCUUACGCAAAACGGCACUCGCGCAAGAAAGGAAAUCAUCACAGGGUACGCAGCACGGAGCCAUCACUCGUCCGUGUGUGGACUCGAGAUUCAUUGUCCCGUUCAUCGUCUGCAGCGAACGACGGUAAAGCAGAACCACGUAAAUCCUAGGUCGUGAGUACAAAUCUAUUUAUUUCCGUAACUAAUACAUGCGCAUGUAGGGAAUAAAUAGAGACAGAAAAACCACACAAAACUAACGAAUGCCACACGAAACAAAAGCCACACUAAGUUGAAGCGUGUUCUGGAUGAUCCGAUAUCGAUGGUGAGCACAUGCCCAUCGGUAUAGAAGAACGCUUGGUCGAGGUGCAAACGUAGUGUAGAUAGGAAAUGCGCAGUUCCGAACCUCAGGGUCCGAUGUUCGAAACCCGAGGGAAAAUAAAAUAAAAAUAUGUAUAUGUUUAAAUUAAGGUUGUUGAAAUAAUCAUGUUUGUAUAAAAUUAUAUCGUCUGUAGUUGAAUGCUGUUUGAAUAUAUACAUGAGUUUG
Long non-coding RNA from Toxorhynchites rutilus septentrionalis, 834 nucleotides. RefSeq lists it as uncharacterized. NCBI's taxonomy places the organism in Eukaryota, Metazoa, Arthropoda, Insecta, Diptera, Culicidae. The record is from RefSeq and is a predicted model, not a curated record. The transcript is spliced from 3 exons.